AUGGAGGUGGAUCCGGGUUCAGAUGAUGUAGAAGCUGACAGAGAAACGAGAGCUCAGAAACUAAAAUUAAAGUUUUCAGAAGAAAUGUCAAAUUCCGUGCACAAAUGAGAAGAUUCGACGAGUACUGUGGAGUGACUAAUUUAACAGUAGAUGAUCUCAAUUGGCCUUUAAUAUCUGGAAUUCCUUUACAAAGACAACGAUUGACAGGAGCUACGUAUUAUGAUGAUAGUCUUCUCGAUCAAAAUCCUUGGGAUGAAUUUUCAAUUGAUCGAUUUCUUGAAAUUACUUCAAUUCAAUUAAUAACAGCCGGUGCUGGAUAUGAAAGGAAUGAUGAAAUUACUCGAUUCGUUUUUCAAAGAACAAUGAAGACAAUUGUAACUUAUUGCAAUUUUAUGUAUGAUUUGGCAAGGCGGAACGGGAAAGUUCAAAUAACUCGAUUCGAGUUGCAAGAUUUGAUUCAUCGCGAUGAAUUUCGGUUUUACAUGUAUUUUCGACAAUUUUUACCCAAUCCGGAUCCGAAUUGUACGGCCUUUUCCAAUCACUACACGUCUCUUCUUCAUACACUCUAUUUCAAUAUUCCGGGAAUGCCACAGUUUUGGAACAAUUCCCAAAUGUAUAAUUACGCUGCUACCCGUGGUCAACGCCUUGUUCAAAAUAUCGCCGCUUUUUAUCCACCCGAAUAUUUUUGGAACGAAGAUGAAUCCAAGUAUCAUACUACGUUUGUGGUUCCACGUGGCACAGAGUUCUCAAAGUUUUAUGCUCGAAGAUUUCAUGAAGCACUUGGAAUGCCACCACUGGAAAAUGAGAUUAUUACGGUUUUGGAUUGGCUUGCGAAGCUCUGCAUUUUGGAAAUUGUAUAUCACACAACGAUUUGGUGCGACAUAACUGGAUUUGGAGGGCUUCCACGUAUUGAGCACUAUCGUUUAGCCAUGGAGAAUGUUGAAGACAUCAUAUUCGACUUGGCAAUUGAUGAUUUCUCAAUUUCCCGUCUACAGUUACAAAUUUCGCCGUUUGAAAUCUCUCGCUACUCACCUCUAGAUGUAUCUGGUUAUUAUGAAACAAUUAAAAGAAAAAAAGAUAUUGAAGAAUAUCAAAAUCGUUUCUAUGAAGUUCAUUAUUCUGAUGAUGUUCGGAUUAUGAAUGUUUAUGCUACUGAUUGCUCCAGGAAACGAUGA
This 1175-nucleotide unclassified non-coding RNA is filed under the name Caenorhabditis elegans. RNAcentral's name for it is "Non-coding transcript of protein-coding gene fem-3". Lineage: Eukaryota; Metazoa; Nematoda; Chromadorea; Rhabditida; Rhabditidae. The record is from RNAcentral.